This 26-nucleotide non-coding RNA is filed under the name Rattus norvegicus (Norway rat). The record is from RNAcentral. Lineage: Eukaryota; Metazoa; Chordata; Mammalia; Rodentia; Muridae.
UCAUGUCUUUGAAACACACAGGACUU